UCCAAGAUCGGUAAUAGCGCUGGUGGGCCU
This 30-nucleotide non-coding RNA is filed under the name Homo sapiens (human). Lineage: Eukaryota; Metazoa; Chordata; Mammalia; Primates; Hominidae. The record is from RNAcentral.